This is a long non-coding RNA of Gasterosteus aculeatus aculeatus (three-spined stickleback), 1880 nucleotides long. The record is from Ensembl. Lineage: Eukaryota; Metazoa; Chordata; Actinopteri; Perciformes; Gasterosteidae.
AUUUUACCCAGUAAGUAUUAGGAAGUCUGUCUGGAGACGAAAAUAUGUCAUUCCAGCAGUAAAAUACUUUCACUUCACUUUUCAAUUCACUGCUGAUGCAUUUGGACCUGACAGUGUGUCUCGUGUAGGCUGAGCUGCUCUUGACACUGUGGAAGUACAGAGUGGGAACAUUAGACUGCAAACUGAGAAAUCCACUUUUAUCUGUCUCAAGUGUCACAAACAAGACUACACACGUGCCCUUUUCUCUACAGUAGCUCAACCAUCUUAACGGGGAAAUAAGUUAUUUUAAAAGCAGCCGAAGAUUUAAGGCGUGGAUGGCGAGGGGGGCGGCGAGAGUGGACGCACCUCGCAGCAUCGAUCGGACCCCCGAAAGCACCGUCUCCACCUCCCCACCCCCCAUCCACCCGCCCCGACGCCAAACGUUUGACGGCUAUGGCGGCAAAUCACCAGCCGGUCUGCGAGCUGGACGCAUCGGUCUUAAUGUGCCGGUAAUGAUGGUAAAUGAUGCUUGUAGCUGGUUGUCAUCUACGCUCCACUACGGUUACAUAAAGGUGGCGUUUGUGUUUUCACAACGUUUUAUCUCAUCAUUUAGACUUUCUAUCCCCUUUCUUCAGUGCGGAAAUGGGCUUCUAUAGUUGUGUGAAUGCAUCACUCCAGCCAAUCCAAAGACGGGGUUUGUAACCAAUCUGGUGUAGAGACCAUGGUGACUGGCUCCGCCCCCUUACUGUCAGAAAGAACAACAGCGAGCGCGUAGAAAACUCCUUCGAGCGCGAGCAGAGAUUCUCCUCGCGAGCAACAAAGGUCUCGAUUCGCAAGCGACCAAAUAUCUCGCGGAUGUUUCAUUUUGGUUGAAUUCUUAAGGUCAAUUAAUCAUUAUGUUUUGAUCAGAGUUGUGAUUAAAGGUUUGAGUGGGCCGCAAAAGAUUGUCAGAUUUUCAGAUUUCAAAUUGGGCCGCGGCAUUCUUGAGUUUGGGAACCGGAAUAUCCAUAUACUUGAUCCGUCACCCAAACUGAGGUGAAAAGCGCGCUGGUUACUAAAGGAAUAUGUUCUUUCCUUUGCAUUUUGCGUCGCUAGCUCAGGCUCGGUCGGCUCUACCUCCGUCUCUGAGUCGGAUGCCAUCUCUGACGAAGGGCCAGGGCGUGGGACUUUACCGGGAACUGGGGAGACUGGUGGCUCCAUGUCUGGGCGAUUGUCGCAGCAUUGACCGGGGAGAGUGUUGGGGGGAACAGGCCUACUUUUCUUUAAUAACAUCCAUGGCUCCAUUUCUUUUCAUUGUUCCUCGUCUGGUUCGCUGGUGUUCAGGUCACAAUUUCAAUCACACAGCACGGAGCAGCGUAGGCCUACAGGAGUAUCUGGACCACAGCCAAUCAGAGGCAAAGACCCGCCGCAUCUCUGCCUCUGAUUGGUUUAGACCACCAUACGAUCCAAGCAGGAGUGAGUUCCAUCAAAGGAGAACAAAGGCUUCGUUCGUGGAGAGGCAGCGGAUGUGAGGACGGGUGCACCAGAGCAACCUGGGAAACAUUUUAGUCGUACAAAUUCUGGUGAAAUUGGUCCCACUGUGGAGCCCUGUGAGGUGUAGUUAACGGUUAUACAUGAGAUAUAACUAUACUAUGACUGGGUGUGAGUUAGGGCUGCAGCUAACAAUUAUUUUGAUAAUCAAUUAAUCAAUUCUUCCUGAUUAAUCGAUGAAUCUGAUAAAAAGCAGCUUUAAAAAGAUUUAAUUCACAACCCUUUAUUCUAAAACAGAACUGCAAUUUCACAUUGCAAAAAUACUUCAAAACAUCCACAGGUUGCUCCUUGAAAGUAAUAAUUUAUAAAUAAAGAAAAGUACAAAUCAGAAAGUUUAACAGGAUUUGUUGUCAGAACUUGUUCUCUACUCU